RNAcentral lists this ribosomal RNA (508 nucleotides) under uncultured bacterium. RNAcentral describes it as "partial 16S ribosomal RNA". It matches the Rfam family "Bacterial small subunit ribosomal RNA", at positions 28 to 523 of the family's 1533-position model. The record is from RNAcentral.
GAUGAACGCUAGCUACAGGCUUGACACAUGCAAGUCGAGGGGAAACGACAUUGGAAGCUUGCUUCCGAUGGGCGUCGACCGGCGCACGGGUGAGUAACGCGUAUCCAACCUGCCCAUCACUUGGGGAUAACCUUGCGAAAGUAAGACUAAUACCCAAUGAUAUCUCUAGAAGACAUCUGAAAGGGAUUAAAGAUUUAUCGGUGAUGGAUGGGGAUGCGUCUGAUUAGCUUGUUGGCGGGGUAACGGCCCACCAAGGCGACGAUCAGUAGGGGUUCUGAGAGGAAGGUCCCCCACAUUGGAACUGAGACACGGUCCAAACUCCUACGGGAGGCAGCAGUGAGGAAUAUUGGUCAAUGGGCGAGAGCCUGAACCAGCCAAGUAGCGUGCAGGAUGACGGCCCUAUGGGUUGUAAACUGCUUUUAUAAGGGAAUAAAGUGAGUCUCGUGAGACUUUUUGCAUGUACCUUAUGAAUAGGGACCGGCUAAUUCCGUGCCAGCCGCCGCAGUUA